GAAGAACCUUACCUGGUCUUGACAUAGUAAGAACUUUCCAGAGAUGGAUUGGUGCCUUCGGGAACUUACAUACAGGUGCUGCAUGGCUGUCGUCAGCUCGUGUCGUGAGGUGUUGGGUUAAGUCCCGCAACGAGCGCAACCCUUUUCCUAUUUGCCAGCGGGUUAAGCCGGGAACUUUAAGGAUACUGCCAGUGACAAACUGGAGGAAGGCGGGGACGACGUCAAGUCAUCAUGGCCCUUACGACCAGGGCUACACACGUGCUACAAUGGUCGGUACAAAGGGUUGCUACCUAGCGAUAGGAUGCUAAUCUCAAAAAGCCGAUCGUAGUCCGGAUUGGAGUCUGCAACUCGACUCCAUGAAGUCGGAAUCGCUAGUAAUCGCGGAUCAGAAUGCCGCGGUGAAUACGUUCCCGGGCCUUGUACACACCGCCCGUCACACCAUGGGAGUUUGUUGCGCCAGAAGUAGGUAGUCUAACCGCAAGGAGGACGCUUACCACGGUGUGGCCGAUGACUGGGGUGAAGUCGUAACAAGGUAAGCGUAGAUGA
RNAcentral lists this ribosomal RNA (546 nucleotides) under uncultured bacterium. Its description in RNAcentral is "bacterial SSU rRNA". It matches the Rfam family "Bacterial small subunit ribosomal RNA", at positions 963 to 1509 of the family's 1533-position model. The record is from RNAcentral.